Molecule: long non-coding RNA, 761 nt
Organism: Cucurbita maxima (winter squash)
Lineage: Eukaryota; Viridiplantae; Streptophyta; Magnoliopsida; Cucurbitales; Cucurbitaceae
Exons: 3
Source: RefSeq, a predicted model, not a curated record
UGACCCAGUCGUCUCGUCGGUUCCAUGGGAGCGCCACUUUUGGAACAACGAACUUCAAGGCUCUUACCUGAAACCAAAGCAGGCUCAGCAAGUCCAACUGGUUCGCCAUUGCUGUCCCGAGAUAAUGAAGAAGCAUUUUCGGCGCUCUUUUGUCAACUUUCGGACUAGAAUGUUGUCAAAGGAUUGAAAACCGCAAACAAAGUGAGACCAGUUAGAUCAAUCCAAUUUUGGCAAUAUUUGGGAUGUUUAAAAGAGAGGAAUAGCAUUUUUGUUGACAAGAAAAUGUUUGGUGGAAGAGGCGUGAAAGUUAGGUCGCUUCUGAAGUUUCUAGCUAGAUUUCCGUAUGGAAAGUUUCUUAUCAUGUUUAUGCCUAAUUGCCAGCUUUCUGUAGCUUCCCUCUCUAGACAAGGCUCUUACUGCCUUCCAGGCUUCUUUGAUGAUUUCCUCUUUAUUCUUUAUUUUUUAUAUAUAUAAAAAAAUUGUUCUGCCCUUACCCAAUCGGUAAUUUAUUUUCUUAUAAAAGUAAAUGGACACGAAGAUCAGCUUUUUAAACGCCCAAAACCUAUGUUAGCAUAGACUACUGUCAUAUUUGCCUCUCGAAUAAAUUGAAGCUCAUAGAUCAGAGAGAAAGGAUUAGAAGAAAACCUGCGCGAAAAAAUACAGACCUUUGGCAUCAUUUUCAAAAGCUUAGAACAAACUAGCAAAUUUACGUAAAUGAAAAUAUUUCUUUAAAAAUCUAUUUUGUACCAAUUCGAAAUAGA